UGGGGAAUCUUGCGCAAUGGGCGAAAGCCUGACGCAGCAACGCCGCGUGCGGGAUGAAGGCCCUCGGGUUGUAAACCGCUUUCAGUGGGGACGAAUUCAGACGGUACCCACAGAAGAAGCCCCGGCCAACUACGUGCCAGCAGCCGCGGUAACACGUAGGGGGCAAGCGUUGUCCGGAUUCAUUGGGCGUAAAGAGCUCGUAGGCGGCUCAGUAAGUCGGGUGUGAAACCUCCAGGCUCAACCUGGAGACGCCACCCGAUACUGCUGUGGCUAGAGUCCAGUAGAGGAGCGUGGAAUUCCCGGUGUAGCGGUGAAAUGCGCAGAUAUCGGGAGGAACACCAAUGGCGAAGGCAGCGCUCUGGGCUGGAACUGACGCUGAGGAGCGAAAGCGUGGGGAGCGAACAGGAUUAGAUACCCUGGUAGUCCACGCCGUAAACGUUGGGCACUAGGUGUGGGUCCUUUCCAACGGGAUCCGUGCCGUAGCUAACGCAUUAAGUGCCCCG
Molecule: ribosomal RNA, 503 nt
Filed under: uncultured Actinomycetes bacterium
Lineage: Bacteria; Bacillati; Actinomycetota; Actinomycetes
Description: bacterial SSU rRNA
Rfam family: Bacterial small subunit ribosomal RNA
Source: RNAcentral